AUGGCUUAUUCCAGAGUUGCCUGAAGCCUU
RNAcentral lists this non-coding RNA (30 nucleotides) under Rattus norvegicus (Norway rat). The record is from RNAcentral. Lineage: Eukaryota; Metazoa; Chordata; Mammalia; Rodentia; Muridae.